Molecule: long non-coding RNA, 1947 nt
Organism: Strigops habroptila (Kakapo)
Lineage: Eukaryota; Metazoa; Chordata; Aves; Psittaciformes; Psittacidae
Source: Ensembl
GGACUGCAGUUAAAAGCUAGGGCUAGGACUUGGAGGAUGUGUAGGCAAACGGAAGGAGAGCCGGGGAAGAAAAACCGAAAUGGAUUCAUUCUCUGUCCUGGAUGGAGGAGGAGAGGAGAAGCGGACGUGCAAGCUUCCUUCAGCUGCCUCUGUCCGGUGGAAAGUGCUCAGACCCCCGGGGCUGCGCCGGGCUGAGGCUCCGCACGGACUUUCGCUCCAAGCUGCCAAUCAAGGCUCUCGCUAGCCACCACCCUGCUCUGGCACCGACACGAUCUGCAGGAUCUCCCCCUGUGAGAUGCAACUCAGCAGCUCUGUCCCCUCUGCCAUCUCAGCGCUGCCAGUGGAGAAGCCCAGGAGGAGCACAGAGCAGUGGCUGAGCAGCAAUCUGAAUAUUCGUAUUUAACUCUUCAAACAACAGAAGAUACUUCAAAACCAAGUUCUCACAUACUGACAAGGUGCUGCAAACACCCUGUGACAAAGAUCAGAGGGAAAUACUUAUUUGAAGAAAUCUUUGCCAUUAGCUGUAUUUGUUCUGCCAGAAGGGCUAUAUUCUGACUGUUGUUUGACAGAGGCAAACAUGAGUAACCCUACUCUCUUCUUACACUUGAGACACUGAAAAAAGCUGAAAGAUAAUUGAAGAGGAAAAAAACCCUGUAUAAAAUUGAACAGCAAACUCUGUGUACAUCUGUGUGCACAUACAAGUGCACACGCAUGUACUGCUGCUGGCGUGCUUGUUUUCAAGUGGAGAUUUCAGUGAUGGUCGAUUUAACAUAAACUUGAAGUGUACAACAGACUGUUUUGUGUGGCCUGCUGCUUAUUUCAUGAGCUGUUCUUUCCCAUUUCAAGCAAGCGUAAUGUGCUGCAGCGCUGUCAGCACCCCACCAGUCUCGUGAUUGGGAUGCGAUACUGAAAUUCCAGGAGGUCUUUUCCCACUGAUGACUUGGAGCAGAAGCGACUUUGGUGGCAAAGGGGCUGCACUGGGGCCAGCCAGGCUCUUGAGGUGGUCCAUGGCAGUGGGAAACAUCAGUGGCCCUGGAGUUCCUGCAGGUGUUGAACAUCCAAAGGUCUCCGGCAAUGUUGCAUCCACACAUGUCAUGUGCAUCCAGCUGCAUGAGCGCAGUGUGUGUUUGUUCGUCUGGCUGCCAGACACACGGUGACUGGGGCUGGGGAGGGCAGCUCUGGGGCUGCUCUGGGUGCUGGAGCUGCUGAGAUCCCCCCCAUCCCUAUGGCUCUGCACAGUCCCCUGAGCUGUGUGAAGCUACACAAAGUUUCCUCUAAUCAUGAAUUUAAUAUGCUUUCAGACUUGACAAUCUCCUUUUAAAUGAAAACAUUUAUGUGGAGCAAAAGGCAUGUUAGCCUCUCCAAAUAAAUGGAAUUAUGGUUCCAAGAUCUGACUUAAUCCUGAAGCUCUUACACUGUACAGUAAGUAGAAAAGAAAGAGGAUUGCUUAUUGGAGGAUGGGUUAGCAGGAUCAGGCUCCAUUUUAUAUCAUUUCACUCAUUUUCCUUCUGGUAUUUAAUCUACCUUUUUCAGAACUCCCACUGGCUGUUCAUAACAAAGUCAAAGUAACUUCACAGCUAUUACCUAUUGGCAAACACUAAUAAUUGAGAAUAAUGAGGGGUGGUACAGAGAGUGCCCACCCAGCUUUCCUUCUAGGAAAAUGUGAGGAUUGUUAAACAAACCAAAAAUGCCAUUCUUCCAGAUGUAUUUUCAUCAUAAAGUCAUGUCCUUUAAAAAUCGAUUUCAAGAUGUUUCUCAAAUGCAUUGUAACUAUUUAUUCUUUUUCUAACUGUUUUCUUUGUGAAACUGUAUUUUAAAUCUGCAUUUAUGUUUCAAACAAUCUGAGGGAAGAUGUUCAUGAAGUAAUGGUGCUGUUUGUAUUUGUUCUGUUUCUCAAAAUAGAAUUUCUGAUCAGAUAACAUUAAAAUAUUUUUGUAUUAGUUUUCA